GUUCGGAACAGUACAAGCUACAUGGUGUUGAAGGUAAGACGUGAAGUUACAGCGUAUACCUGAAGACUGAAUUCGAAGUGUCUACAACGCGAAGACGUCUUCUUUAUCGCCGAGAAGUUGAAGGAAGCAGCCACCGCAGCUCUGACCAGACUUUCCACCAACUGAGAGGAUGUAGUUUCGUGACUGGUCGGGGGAAAUCUGGUGACCACAGCUCCGAUCGUGAAGACCAGCAGAAGCAAGUUGACUGUACAAUGUUCCAGGACCCACUCUCCGACGGCCAGGAGGGAGGGGAAGAUUUCCUCGGCCGUGGGCAGGAUCUGGUCGGGCGGCAGGAGGAAGGCGUACCGCCCAGUGUCCCGCAGCUCCACGAUGUACGAGUACUUGAUCCCCGCCUUGUCGUAGGUCCAGUCCUGAGAAUCUCCCGACACUUGGUCUAUGUGGGU
Branchiostoma belcheri (Belcher's lancelet) is the source of this 443-nucleotide long non-coding RNA. RefSeq lists it as uncharacterized. Lineage: Eukaryota; Metazoa; Chordata; Leptocardii; Amphioxiformes; Branchiostomatidae. The transcript has 4 exons. The record is from RefSeq and is a predicted model, not a curated record.